AGCUCCAAUAGCGUAUACUAAAGUUGUUGCAGUUAAAAGCUCGUAGUUGGAUUUCUGCUUGAGAGGGACGGCAGGCGUCAUUGACGUUUAGUCUGACUUCUCGUGCAUCCUGUCACGAACCACGUUGCUCUUAAUUGAGUGGCGUCGGGGAUUGACUCGUUUACUUUGAGAAAAAUAGAGUGUUCAAAGCAGGCUUACGCAUCUGAAUAAGUUAGCAUGGAAUAAUGAUAAAGGACUUCGGUUCUAUUUGUUGGUGUUCGGAACUGAAGUAAUGAUUGAUAGGGACAGUUGGGGGCAUCAGUAUUCCGAAGCGAGAGGUGAAAUUCUAGGACCUUCGGAAGACUAACCGCUGCGAAAGCG
RNAcentral lists this ribosomal RNA (360 nucleotides) under uncultured eukaryote. RNAcentral's name for it is "SSU rRNA". It matches the Rfam family "Eukaryotic small subunit ribosomal RNA", at positions 587 to 953 of the family's 1831-position model. The record is from RNAcentral.